This 500-nucleotide ribosomal RNA is filed under the name uncultured bacterium. RNAcentral describes it as "partial 16S ribosomal RNA". It matches the Rfam family "Bacterial small subunit ribosomal RNA", at positions 30 to 523 of the family's 1533-position model. The record is from RNAcentral.
AUUGAACGCUGGCGACAUGCCUUACACAUGCAUGUCGAACGGCAGCACGGGAGCAAUCCUGGUGGCGAGUGGCGAACGGGUGAGUAAAGUAUCGGAACGUGCCCAGUCGUGGGGGAUAACGUAGCGAAAGUUACGCUAAUACCGCAUACGAUCUAUGGAUGAAAGCGGGGGAUCGCAAGACCUCGCGCGAUUGGAGCGGCCGAUAUCAGAUUAGGUAGUUGGUGGGGUAAAGGCUCACCAAGCCGACGAUCUGUAGCUGGUCUGAGAGGACGACCAGCCACACUGGGACUGAGACACGGCCCAGACGCCUACGGGAGGCAGCAGUGGGGAAUUUUGGACAAUGGGCGAAAGCCUGAUCCAGCCAUGCCGCGUGCAGGAUGAAGGCCUUCGGGUUGUAAACUGCUUUUGUACGGAACGAAAAGGUUUGGCCUAAUAAGCUGAGCUCAUGACGGUACCGUAAGAAUAAGCACCGGCUAACUACGUGCCAGCCGCCGCAGUAA